CCUACGGGUGGCAGCAGUGAGGAAUAUUGGUCAAUGGACGAGAGUCUGAACCAGCCAAGUAGCGUGAAGGAUGACUGCCCUAUGGGUUGUAAACUUCUUUUAUAUGGGAAUAAAAUGUUCCACGUGUGGGAUUUUGUAUGUACCAUAUGAAUAAAGAUCGGCUAACUCCGUGCCAGCAGCCGCGGUAAUACGGAGGAUCCGAGCGUUAUCCGGAUUUAUUGGGUUUAAAGGGAGCGUAGGUGGAUUGUUAAGUCAGUUGUGAAAGUUUGCGGCUCAACCGUAAAAUUGCAGUUGAAACUGGCAGUCUUGAGUACAGUAGAGGUGGGCGGAAUGCGUGGUGUAGCGGUGAAAUGCUUAGAUAUCACGAAGAACUCCGAUUGCGAAGGCAGUUCACUGGACUGCAACUGACACUGAGGCUCGAAAGUGUGGGUAUCAAACAGGAUUAGAUACCCUUGUAGUC
This 460-nucleotide ribosomal RNA is filed under the name uncultured bacterium. Its description in RNAcentral is "partial 16S ribosomal RNA". It matches the Rfam family "Bacterial small subunit ribosomal RNA", at positions 338 to 795 of the family's 1533-position model. The record is from RNAcentral.